AGGCAUGAAGAUAGGGAGACAUACCACACUUUCUCCAGCCAAUGCCUCAUACUAUCCAAAUAGCCAGAAGCAAUAUGCCACAGGAACUUGGGAAUGCAGCCUCCAUGUAUUUUUGUAUACAUAUAAUAAUAACAUCUGGAACAUCCAUCUGUUCCUGACAAUGGAGCUCCUGGCUCUAAGGCCUCCAGACUCCAGGACUUCACUACCGGCUCCCCUGAUUCUCGGGCCUUCAGAUUCAGACUGAAUUAUACCACCAACUUUCCAGGAUUUUCAGCUCAUAGAUGGCAGACUGUGGAACUUCUUGUCCUCUGUAACCACGUCCCUGAAGUCUGGCCCCACCCUCAGCCUGAGUCAGAUACAGCCGCUCCUGAAAACAGGCUGGCAUCAAGGUUCUGAACUCUGCUUUUUCCCACCAUUUCUACGCAACACCUUAGUUCAAGUUUCCAACAUCUUUAAGCUGGUCUUCCUGCAAAGUUGUCCUGACAGGUCUACUGGUUUUACUUGGCAGCCAGCCUCUUUUCAGACUCUUCACACACUAGCCAAAGGAUGCUUUUAAAACGUGAGUUAAAUAAUGUUACUCCACCUCUACUCCCACAACUAUUCACACAUUCCAGUGCUUCCUCAUUGCAUUUAGAAUAACAUUGAAAGUCUUUAAUAAGAUCUGGCUCCUCUUCCACUUGUUCAUCACAAAGCAUCUACCUCCAUCUUCUUGAUGUU
RNAcentral lists this long non-coding RNA (717 nucleotides) under Equus caballus (horse). RNAcentral describes it as "lncRNA (ENSECAG00000050603.1)". The record is from RNAcentral. Lineage: Eukaryota; Metazoa; Chordata; Mammalia; Perissodactyla; Equidae.